GACUGAGUGGCCAAGUUGGUUAAGGCGUACGACUGUUAGAAAUAUCUAGUCAUCGUAAGAUCGAGAGUUCGACCCUCUCCUCGGUCG
RNAcentral lists this transfer RNA (87 nucleotides) under Yarrowia lipolytica. It matches the Rfam family "tRNA". From Rfam's summary of the family: Transfer RNA (tRNA) molecules are approximately 80 nucleotides in length. Their secondary structure includes four short double-helical elements and three loops (D, anti-codon, and T loops). RNAcentral also lists the same sequence under 1 other name. The record is from RNAcentral. Lineage: Eukaryota; Fungi; Ascomycota; Dipodascomycetes; Dipodascales.